UGCCGCGAUCGAUGCGACGACAAUGCA
This 27-nucleotide small RNA is filed under the name Bombyx mori (domestic silkworm). Its description in RNAcentral is "ovarian small RNA-33781". Lineage: Eukaryota; Metazoa; Arthropoda; Insecta; Lepidoptera; Bombycidae. The record is from RNAcentral.